This 431-nucleotide ribosomal RNA is filed under the name uncultured organism. Its description in RNAcentral is "bacterial SSU rRNA". It matches the Rfam family "Bacterial small subunit ribosomal RNA", at positions 29 to 507 of the family's 1533-position model. The record is from RNAcentral.
AAUGAACGCUGGCGGCAGGCCUAACACAUGCAAGUCGAACGCCCCGCAAGGGGAGUGGCGCACGGGUGAGUAACGCGUGGGAAUAUGCCCUUCGGUUCGGAAUAACACAGGGAAACUUGUGCUAAUACCGGAUACGGUCUACGGACGAAAGAUUUAUCGCCGAGGGAGUAGCCCGCGUAGGAUUAGCUAGUUGGUGAGGUAAUGGCUCACCAAGGCGACGAUCCUUAGCUGGUCUGAGAGGAUGAUCAGCCACACUGGGACUGAGACACGGCCCAGACUCCUACGGGAGGCAGCAGUGGGGAAUAUUGGACAAUGGGCGAAAGCCUGAUCCAGCCAUGCCGCGUGAGUGAUGAAGGCCUUAGGGUUGUAAAGCUCUUUCGCCGGGGAAGAUAAUGACGGUACCCGGAAAAGAAGCCUCGGCUAACUCCGUG